AUAACGUGGUCGCUAUUUUAUGACCUGUGUUACGAGCUCGGUCUAGAAACGCAUAAUGAGGAAGCACAAGAUAAGGAAUAGGCAAACUGAACACCGGUGCAUGGUAUUUCGGCAAGUUUUUAAGAAAACAUAAUGUAUUAAGAAUUAGAACCUAGGAAAAGGAUUUUCCAUGAAUAUAAAUUAUCAGGUAACUAAGAGAGAUGCAACUGGGAUAACCGUAAGGAUGAAGUAUAUUUGAGCUCAAAGAUAAACUGUAGUUGACAGCUAACUAGGUUUUGGUUACUUAUAAUAUAACCAAAGAUAAGAAAUAUAGAGACCACAAUGUUUUAAGGAAGAAUAAACUAAUAAGUUAUUAUUUCU
Danaus plexippus (monarch butterfly) is the source of this 360-nucleotide long non-coding RNA. RefSeq lists it as uncharacterized. The transcript is spliced from 3 exons. The record is from RefSeq and is a predicted model, not a curated record. NCBI's taxonomy places the organism in Eukaryota, Metazoa, Arthropoda, Insecta, Lepidoptera, Nymphalidae.